GGGCGAUUAGCUCAGUUGGUUAGAGCAUUACCUUCACACGGUAGGGGUCACUGGUCCGAGUCCAGUAUCGCCCACCA
RNAcentral lists this transfer RNA (77 nucleotides) under Lachnospiraceae bacterium. RNAcentral's name for it is "tRNA-Val". It matches the Rfam family "tRNA". From Rfam's summary of the family: Transfer RNA (tRNA) molecules are approximately 80 nucleotides in length. Their secondary structure includes four short double-helical elements and three loops (D, anti-codon, and T loops). The record is from RNAcentral. Lineage: Bacteria; Bacillati; Bacillota; Clostridia; Lachnospirales; Lachnospiraceae. RNAcentral also lists the same sequence under 4 other names.